RNAcentral lists this ribosomal RNA (467 nucleotides) under uncultured bacterium. RNAcentral describes it as "partial 16S ribosomal RNA". It matches the Rfam family "Bacterial small subunit ribosomal RNA", at positions 28 to 507 of the family's 1533-position model. The record is from RNAcentral.
GACGAACGCUGGCGGCGUGCUUAACACAUGCAAGUCGAACGGAAAGGCCUCUUUCGGGGGGUACUCGAGUGGCGAACGGGUGAGUAACACGUGAGUAACCUGCCCUUGACUUUGGGAUAACUUCAGGAAACUGGGGCUAAUACCGGAUAGGAGCUCCUGCUGCAUGGUGGGGGUUGGAAAGUUUCGGCGGUUGGGGAUGGACUCGCGGCUUAUCAGCUUGUUGGUGGGGUAGUGGCUUACCAAGGCUUUGACGGGUAGCCGGCCUGGGAGGGUGACCGGCAACAUUGGGACUGAGAUACGGCCCAGACUCCUACGGGAGGCAGCAGUGGGGAAUAUUGCACAAUGGGUGGAAGCCUGAUGCAGCAACGCCGUGUGCGGGAUGACGGCCUUCGGGUUGUAAACCGCUUUCGCUCAUGACGAAGCUUUGUGUGACGGUAGUGGGUAAAGAAGCACCGGCUAACUACGUG